CCUACGGGUGGCAGCAGUGGGGAAUAUUGGGCAAUGGGCGCAAGCCUGACCCAGCAACGCCGCGUGAGGGAAGAAGGCUUUCGGGUUGUAAACUUCUUUUAUGAGGGACGAAAAAAAUGACGGUAGCUCAUGAAUAAGCCACGGCUAACUACGUGCCAGCCGCCGCGGUACUACGUAGGGGGCAAGCGUUAUGCGGAUUUACUGGGUGUAAAGGGGGAGUAGGCGGGACGGCAAGUCUGAUGUGAAACUUAUGGGCUCAACCCAUGACCUGCAUUGGAAACUGUAGUGCUGGAGUGCUGGAGAGGCAGGCGGAAUUCCGUGUGUAGCGGUGAAAUGCGUAGAUAUACGGAGGAACACCAGUGGCGAAGGCGGCCUGCUGGACAUUAACUGACGCUGAGGCGCGAAAGCGUGGGGAGCAAACAGGAUUAGAUACCCUAGUAGUC
Molecule: ribosomal RNA, 443 nt
Filed under: uncultured bacterium
Lineage: Bacteria
Description: partial 16S ribosomal RNA
Rfam family: Bacterial small subunit ribosomal RNA
Source: RNAcentral